Molecule: long non-coding RNA, 629 nt
Filed under: Scleropages formosus (Asian bonytongue)
Lineage: Eukaryota; Metazoa; Chordata; Actinopteri; Osteoglossiformes; Osteoglossidae
Description: lncRNA (ENSSFOG00015032355.1)
Source: RNAcentral
CUCCUUUUCUCUAUGCCUUCCUGACUUUUCCAUGAUUUUUAUAGCAGCUGACCUUUGCCGUGACAGCACUUCUGCAUAAUUCGUUAUUGCAACAGUGAGAAGUCGUGUUUCACUGAAUUUAGAAAAGACAGCAUGAGAGACGAAUGGAAGGUGACGUAGCAGUGAACAAGACGAUGGCAGCGGCUGAAAAGACUGGAUUUGUAUUGUUUCUGCUGCUCAGCACCUCCAUGGAGAACCAGGAAAGGCAGGAAAAGAUGCCUGAUGUAUUCAGUGUGACGUAUGCUGCGGUCAUCCUCACAAACCCCAGGCAGAAAGAAUCCAAUGAAGACAGGGUUGACAUCAGAACUGAAUAUGCAGCGAUCAGAACCACACAGUGAUGCCUUGCAUGGGGUGCCUUGUGAUGGACUGGCGUCCCGUCCGGGGUGUGUCCCCUCCCCCUUGAGCCUUGCGCCCUGUCUUGCCAGGUUAGGCUCCGGUUUGCCAUGACCCUGCUCAGGACAAGCGGUUUGAGACAGUGUGUGUGUUUAGCACUGACAUUAUGUAAAGAAGCAAAACCAAACAUAAUAAUAAUAAUAAUAAUAAUAAUAAUAAUAAUAAUAAUAAUAAUAAUAAUAAUAAUAAUUUAUUAU